Molecule: transfer RNA, 77 nt
Filed under: Clostridiales bacterium
Lineage: Bacteria; Bacillati; Bacillota; Clostridia; Eubacteriales
Also listed under: 2 other names
Description: tRNA-Arg
Rfam family: tRNA
About the family: Transfer RNA (tRNA) molecules are approximately 80 nucleotides in length. Their secondary structure includes four short double-helical elements and three loops (D, anti-codon, and T loops).
Source: RNAcentral
GCGCUGAUAGCUCAGCUGGAUAGAGCAACUGCCUUCUAAGCAGUAGGUCAGGGGUUCGAGUCCCUUUCAGCGCGCCA